Molecule: ribosomal RNA, 32 nt
Filed under: Caridina sp. FB-6
Lineage: Eukaryota; Metazoa; Arthropoda; Malacostraca; Decapoda; Atyidae
Also listed under: 1 other name
Description: partial 12S ribosomal RNA
Source: RNAcentral
GUGUAUCGGAAGGUGUACCUAGGAGUAAUAUA